AGAAAUCAAAUCCACAAUUUGAAGUGCUGGAUACUCUUCUCCUUUCUCAAAUCACAAGCCCUAACUCUCAAUAAUUGUCCCAAAACUCUUCCACGUGAAAGCCCAAAUGUCCUUCAACAGCAUGUAAUCAAUGGUAGGAUUUUGUGUGGUUUUUUUUUUUUUGGAGGAAAAAGACAAGAAGAAUGAUGAAUAAAUUGAGAGGAAGAAAUUCGCUACCCACUAUGCAAAGGCAAGGAAAACGAAAUUGAAAGAGAGAGCAGGACACGGUUUUCUCUUUCUUUUACAAUGUAUAUAGGAGUGGGCUGCGUGGGUUUCUAGUGUUAGGUUAGUUUUAGAUUUUUUUUUUUAAACUAUUAUUAUUAUUAUAAGUUUUGUUUUAUUAUAUAUAUUGUCUUCUAUUUCCUGUACCAUCAUUUUUUUUUACGGGAUGUUUCAUUUUAUUCAUGAAAAGUCAAAGAAUUACUAUUACUUGGUGACAGUAAAUUAAUAAUGAUGAAAUGAUUUACUGUGAAGAAGUUGAUAAAUUCCUGGUUCAUGUGCUGAUUUUCCUAAGUUUAAAAUUAUGCUGAGUAAGAAAAGGUCGUCAGGCAUAUGCAUCUUGAAAUUAAAUGCUCACAUAUUGCUUCUUGAAGUAUAUACUUGAUGCCAAAUUGGAAUGUUGUAUUCCUUUUUUUUUGCUGAAUAUUAGAAUGGAUACUCAGAAUAUCCCUUUGAAUAAAAAAUGCAAAGUUGUUAGCCCAUGGGUGUUGUCCUUGGCUCCUUUUUAUGAAACAUUUGAACUAUACCAUUUUUUUAUGCUUGGGCCCCAUAAAUAAUAUAACUAGCAUGAUUAUUCUUUUCAAGUGAGGAAAGCUCUUACCUCUUUCUAGUGAAAAUUGUACAGUAAAUGAAGCAUCUUUUCAUCCUCUUUAAAAACCUUUCAGCUUGCAAAAAUCAGUUACUUGUUUUUAGUCUAGUAUCUUAAUAAGCUAUUUUUCUUUUAGACAGAAAAGAGUUGGAGCAUUUUCAAGCUCUUGCUAAAGCUCAACAUCCAAAGGUGCUGAUAACAAGAGGAUUUGUGUUGUCCAUUCAAUUAUUUGUUACAUAACUAUUCCCCCAUUUUCAUUACAUUUUAGCUUAAUUUCUUUGGCUCAUGUAUGUUUACUGCUCCAUGUUGUAAUUCAACUAAGACAUUGGUCUUAACUCUUAACUGAUAAAUCCAAGUACAGUUUUUAGUAAUUGCUUGUGCAGACUCUAGGCCAGGGUAUGCCCCUCCAACAUAUCAGGAUUCCAACCUUGAGAAGUAUUCAUGAUACGUAACAUCGCCAAUCUUGUACCUGUGAUGAAGGUGAAUAAGGUGCUUCAGUUGGGCUGGUCUGCUUCAAAUUUUUAUUUUGGGGUCAGAUGUUAAUUCUUCAGGUAUCAUCUUUGUAACACGUUCAAGUGUGUAGCUAUUUAUAAUAAACAAAUAAGUUUUCAUCUAUCAAACAAAAUAAUGCUUGACUCUGAGCCUGCUAGUCUUCAAGCUUACCUAUACUUGCCAUAAAUUUAUAAUGCAUGUUUUUGCAAUUUACUUGCUUAUUGAUGAAUGCUUUGAUUUAAGCUUGAAUAUGUUUGUAAAUUGAGGAUUCAUUUACUGAACUGCUACUUAUUGGUUGUUUAUUGUAUUUGUGUUAGAAACAUGGAUGUGCUUGAAAAUAAGAAAUUGAUGGAUAAUAGAUUAUACUGUGAUACGCAGAAGAAUUUCAUAUAGGAAUUCAUGAAUUAGCGAGGGAACCAAUCCGUCGCUAAAUUAGCGAGGGAUUUAGCGACGGAAUGGGAAUAAAAAAGUCAGGUAGUUAGCGACGGAAUGUGAUCCUUUAGCGACGGUUUGUACCGUCGCAAAUAGCGACGGAAUAAGAACUAAUACUGCAAAUGAUAUAGCGACGGAAUUAAAUAAAUUAGCGACGGAAUAUUUCCGUCGCUAUUAGUGACGGAUUGAAGAAUCCCUCGUUAAAUAUUUACCGACGCCACUUUGCACGGCGGAUGCAGUUCCGUCGCUAAAAAUUUACCGACAGAAUUUUCCUUAUUUAGCGACGGAUUUUGUCCCUCGCUAAUUUGCUUUUUUUUAGUAGUGUACAAAAUCACAAACUGAUAGUGGUGGAAGCUAACAGAAACAACACCCAACCAUUCGCCGUGGACAACAUUGUUACUGUUAUUGUUGUAUAAACAAUGCAUAUACAAUCAUCCUAGUAAAAUCUUAUGAAGGAUAAGAUGUAUCUUAAAUGAAUUGGGGUGAACAAGUUAAUUUUACAUUAUUAGUAAACUAAGUACGGAAAGCAAAGUUUUAUUUGAAAACUCAAGUUAUCCUUAUUUGAGAAAUCCAUUAUGCUAGUUUACAAAUGUAGAAGAAAACAAAUUGUACUGGAUAUCAGAGUGUUAUCCGUAGUGUUUUAACUGAACUCGCUUAACAUAUUUGUUAAGCUGGUUGUGAAUCUAGUCAACCUAGCUAAUCUUGUGAUUAGAGAAAGGUUUGUUCAAGAGUUUAAAUUUGUAGAAGUUACACAAGUAUGGAACACAACUCAAAAUCCCCUUAUUGUGUUUUGCCUACUUUAUUGCCAACUGAUCUUUAACUAAAUUCUUAUAUUGGUGCAAAUAUGAUUGCAAUUUUGUGUUGAAAAUCAUUACUUUUCAUAUCAGUACGUAAGAAAGCUUUCUCUGGGUAAAGCAACUCUGCACAUUAUAAAUCCAUGUUGCCGGGUAACCAGCAACAUUAUCAACAAAUGAGUAGUGUGAUAUUGAAAUGAAGUAGAAAAUGGCAUCACAAAAAAUUAUGACAUUAAAUAAUGAAUAAAUUAUAUAUGUGUGUGUAUAGAAAAUGCCAAUCCAAGACCAUGUAUGAUAUGAUGUAUGGGUAGCCGCCCAUUUUCCAGAAAGUCUAACAAGGCUCUAAAGCAUUAGUAUUAUCAGUUGCCAAUUCACAAUUCCACACACACAGAUUGAAACUAAAAGAGCAUCCCUUAACUUAACUUAAGUUGUUAAUGUUGGUGAAAAUAAGGACUAACGUAGUCACAGUAAAAUACAUGACUAACAUACAUAAUAGGGGUAUUUAAUUUGAUUUAACACUAUACUAACACUAACCAACAUGUAACAUAAUUACCAUAUAUUCUGUUCGGCUAGGCGUUUCAUUUCAGGGAAGGUUAGAUCAGCAUAACUAUUGGAGCUGAAUUGGGCAAACUGGUGCUCAAACGCCAUUUGAUACAUAAAGGCAGUGUUUCGCCUCAAUGCAAGGUUUUUCCUGAAGAUACCGAACCGGUAGAUUUUCUCUUCUUCGGAAUGCUUUCUCCAUUUUAGAACACUUGGAACAGUUGGAAUUGACACAUUCUAAAACAUGAUUGACGAAACCUUUCUCGAGGACAGGGAUGGAUAUGCAUAAAUUUGAGGCUCCUUUCAUCAACGGUUUCAUCAGCAAAAGCGUUGAGGCCAAGGCAGGGAUACAUCUAGUUGUCUAUAGCCUUCUGGUUUUAGCGAGUGAUAUAUGCAAGAGUUUCCUUGAAGAUAUUGAACCUGAAGUGUUUCUCUUCUUCUGAAGAGUAUAUUUUGUCAUAUUUCUUACACCAGCUUUCAAACAGUUCUCUGGCCUCUGUUUCAGAAUGGAGAGAAUUUUGCCCCAUGUGGAGUGCGUUUGAAGUUUGUGUCAUCUUUGUGAUAUUCAAGUCAUGCUAACACAUGAUAUUUAUAUAUAUAUAUAUAUAUAUAUAAACCAUGCCAU
Lotus japonicus is the source of this 3730-nucleotide long non-coding RNA. RefSeq lists it as uncharacterized. Lineage: Eukaryota; Viridiplantae; Streptophyta; Magnoliopsida; Fabales; Fabaceae. The transcript is spliced from 3 exons. The record is from RefSeq and is a predicted model, not a curated record.